GUAUAAAAAGCGAGAAAUUUGCAUAUGGUUUCGGCCCAUAUCUUGAGGGUGUGAGUCCU
Molecule: transfer RNA, 59 nt
Filed under: Concholepas concholepas
Lineage: Eukaryota; Metazoa; Mollusca; Gastropoda; Neogastropoda; Muricidae
Description: tRNA-Arg
Source: RNAcentral